CCAAGCCUCGGGGUGAGGUAUCACGCCAAAGUGCAAAUUUGGAGGAACACCUUAAGGGUGUCGGGGCUUCUCCCGUUU
Molecule: transfer RNA, 78 nt
Filed under: Blaesodactylus boivini
Lineage: Eukaryota; Metazoa; Chordata; Lepidosauria; Squamata; Gekkonidae
Description: tRNA-Cys
Source: RNAcentral